Molecule: long non-coding RNA, 3016 nt
Filed under: Olea europaea (common olive)
Lineage: Eukaryota; Viridiplantae; Streptophyta; Magnoliopsida; Lamiales; Oleaceae
Description: long non-coding RNA (OEUR_LNC015552)
Source: RNAcentral
UCCCUCUUCUCUCUCUCUAACACCAGAAGAUAAACAACUAUAAGAUCAAUGAGUAUACCUGCUCUGUGAUUGAUCCUUUAGGGUUUAAUAUGAAAAAUGGUUAGACUUAUUCUUCUGUAUUAUUUAAUAAAUGGCAAUUAUAAAAUGACAAAUGAAGAAUAUUAAUAGAGCAGUUGAGGUUAAAAGAAGGCAUCUAUUUGUUUUUAUUAAACUGCUAAUUUGUCAUAGGAUUAGAGAUGUUGCUCAACAAUUUAAGAGCAUAAACUGCUGUAUGAUAUGUAAUUAGUAAUUACUAAAUGCCAUUUACAGUUAGUGUACUACAUUCGCAACAACUAUGCUUUUGUCUAGUGUGAAUCUAGCAAUCGUACUUCAUUUUUAUUCAAUCGGUUAACUCCGUCUAAUUUCAUCACUUAGAUUGAUGAAAAUAUAUUAAUUGGUGGUCGAUAAAUGAAGUCCCGCCAUUUAUCUCAUUCAAGUUGUACAUAUUUCACGUUAGCAACUAAAUUUACGUUUGAUGACUAUUAUUUUUUUUUUAUGAAUAAUGUUAUAUGCAGUUGCUCACUACCACUAUCGUCCUACAUGGCGGUUAUUAAUUUGAUGGGAAGUGCUACAUGUACAUAAUUAUCUACAUAAUGAUGUCCAUAAUUACACAUGGCACUGGAUCCAACCUCUAAUUCAAAUCUCACACUUACACAUCAACAACCGGAUGAUUGCCACAUCACAUUAUAAACACCAUUAUGUGCAAUAAUUAUGUACAAGUAGAAUUUUCCUAAUUUGAUACAUGAUGCAAUAAAAAACUACCAUAUUAAUACAUCAAAUUAUCAACCACCACAUGUAUGCCACGAUGGAUAAAAUGGUAGUGAACAACAGCAAAUAACAUUACUCUUUUCUUUUUCUUUUCUUUUUUUUAUUGCAUCAUCGAUUGCUAUAAAUAGAAUAAGACAAUGUGUCUCAAUAAAGUGCAGUAACUCGAUUAAAAUAAUGAAAGUAUAUUUAUAUUAUUGAAAUCAUAUUAAAGUAUGAGUGCCCUAUUAAACACAAUUGAAGUCCAAUUACCUUAUUAAACACUAAAUUAUAACUACCGCAAAUGAAGUUAACAAAAAACGACGCAAGUUAAAGAAAAAACAAGGUCAAGUUUUACAUAGCCCUUUUUGUAUCCAUUAUUUCAAAAACAAAAUAGUUCUGAAUAGUAAUAUUAGAAUUACGUGUAAAAUAUUUUAUUGUAUGAAUGUGUAACUAUAAAUAAUUCUAUAGCAAAAAGAAUUUUAUAACAAUGGAUGUGACAGCAAAGUGGAGUUCUUAAUUAAUAUUACCAAGCAUGGUUUAUGAAUAAUGCUAUAUGCAGUUGCUCACUACCACUAUCGCCCUACAUGGCGGUUAUUAAUUUGAUGGGAAGUGCUAAAUGUACAUAAUUAUCUACAUAAUGGUGUCCAUAAAUACACAUGGCACUGGAUCUAACCUCUAAUUAAAAUCUUACACAUCAACAACCGGAUGAUUGCCACAUCACAUUAUAAACACCAUUAUGUGCAAUAAUUAUGUACAAGUAGAAUUUUCCUAAUUUGAUACAUGAUGCAAUAAAAAACUACCAUAUUAAUACAUCAAAUUAUCAACCACCACAUGUAUGCCACGAUGGAUAAAAUGGUAGUGAACAACAGCAAAUAACAUUACUCUUUUCUUUUUCUUUUCUUUUUUUUAUUGCAUCAUCGAUUGCUAUAAAUAGAAUAAGACAAUGUGUCUCAAUAAAGUGCAGUAACUCGAUUAAAAUAAUGAAAGUAUAUUUAUAUUAUUGAAAUCAUAUUAAAGUAUGAGUGCCCUAUUAAACACAAUUGAAGUCCAAUUACCUUAUUAAACACUAAAUUAUAACUACCGCAAAUGAAGUUAACAAAAAACGACGCAAGUUAAAGAAAAAACAAGGUCAAGUUUUACAUAGCCCUUUUUGUAUCCAUUAUUUCAAAAACAAAAUAGUUCUGAAUAGUAAUAUUAGAAUUACGUGUAAAAUAUUUUAUUGUAUGAAUGUGUAACUAUAAAUAAUUCUAUAGCAAAAAGAAUUUUAUAACAAUGGAUGUGACAGCAAAGUGGAGUUCUUAAUUAAUAUUACCAAGCAUGGCAUACAGUUGUUGUCGCUACAAUAUAAUUUUAAUUUCUUUAUUCUUUAUCAAUAUUAUCUAGUAUACAAAACUAGACAUAGUCAAUUUUAAGAUCAUUUCUUAAAAAAAGCUAAGGAAAUUUUCAAAAUACACCAUUUAUGUAGGGUGCUAUCAUACUUCACAGAAUCACAUACCAUAUUUUACAUAUUUACAUUUUGGAAAUUGCUCAGGGGACUUACCAACCCCUCACUGUAGGGGUUGGUCCCACAUGAAAAAAACAAAAAAAAAAUACGCUAAGACCCACAACUAUGAGUAAUCUAACAAGGGUCUAUAAAACAAACCCUAUAAGUAUAGCAAGUCUCUUACAUUUCACUUGGUACAUUUUGCAUAAUAGUUACAAAAAUCACAUUUCGCUGAAAAUUUUUAAAUGUCAUUAUAAAUAGUGAAACACAUUAUUUUUUCAUACCAAUAUUAUUUUGUAUAUAACGAUUUAUAAAUUUAUUGUCUACUCUUCCUAAAUCUAAAGUCAAAUACCUAAAAUUAAUUUUAAUAAGUUAAGAAAAUACUUCUUUUGACUCAACAUUGUCAAAACAAAUAAAAAUUCUUAAGAAUGCAAUUGCAAUUUUAUUAAUAUCUUGUACACAAAUUUCUCUCUCUUUUUUUCAAGUUUCAUAAAAAAAGAAUAGUCUAUAAAUUUUGAGUUAAUUUAUAAAAUAAUGCUUACACCUCAAGGUGUACACACGAAAUUCACACCCCUCUCAUAUGGAAUGGGGCCCCACGCAUAUUUUAUUGUGAGUGUGUGUCCCUCCAUGUGAGGUGGUAUAUACCCGUGUGUACACAGUUAUUUACCCGUAGCAUUAUCCCAAUUUAUAUAGGGAUUAUAAAUUACUCCUAGACCAUCCCAAACAUGCCAUUCAAGUGUAUAACUA